CAGGUCAGCAUACUGCCGUGAAUACGUUCCCGGGCCUUGUACACACCGCCCGUCACACCAUGAGAGUUGGGGAUACCCGAAGCCUGUGAGCUAACAGUAAUGGAGCAGCAGUCGAAGGUAGAAUCAAUGAUUGGGGUGAAGUCGUAACAAGGUAGC
This 156-nucleotide ribosomal RNA is filed under the name uncultured bacterium. RNAcentral's name for it is "partial 16S ribosomal RNA". It matches the Rfam family "Bacterial small subunit ribosomal RNA", at positions 1345 to 1500 of the family's 1533-position model. The record is from RNAcentral.